Molecule: long non-coding RNA, 1099 nt
Filed under: Pan paniscus (pygmy chimpanzee)
Lineage: Eukaryota; Metazoa; Chordata; Mammalia; Primates; Hominidae
Description: lncRNA (ENSPPAG00000045150.1)
Source: RNAcentral
UACAAAGGACAUGAACUCAUCAUUUUUUAUGGCUGCAUAGGAUUCCAUGGUGUAUAUGUGCCACAUUUUCUUAAUCCAGUCUAUCACUGUUGGACAUUUGGGUUGGUUCCAAGUCUUUGCUAUUGUGAAUAGUGCCGCAGUAAACAUACGUGUGCAUGUGUCUGUAUAGCAGCAUAAUUUAUAGUCAUUUGGGUAUAUACCCAGUAAUGGGAUGGCUGGGUCAAAUGGUAUUUCUAGUUCUAGAUCCCUGAGGAAUGGCCACACUGACUUCCACAAUGGUUGAACUAGUUUACAGUCCCACCAACAGUGUAAAAGUGUUCCUAUUUCUCCACAUCCUCUCCAGCACCUGUUGUUUCCUGACUUUUUAAUGAUUGCCAUUCUCAAAGAACAGUGUGUUUUUAAGUCUCUGCAGCCUUGGGCCAAGCUCGUUCUAUUCCCCACUCUACAAGAAUCACAAGAGCGCUAGGAUUCUGUUUGGGGUUGCCGUGGACACAGAGUUCUUAUUACAGAACUGACUUAUUCUCAAUAUGAGGUAAAGACCUACAGGUGAGGUCUCUGAGCAAGGGAGUCCCAUCCCAUCCUCUGCCCUCUCUGUUGGCUGUUGUCCUCUCAUCUUCAUCAGGAGAAUUAAAAUCAUAGAAUGUUGUACCGACGACACAAGACCUCAGACUUGUGUUAUUCUAGCAGCUGAACACACCCCAGGCUCUUCUGACUGGCAGUGGCUCUGGAAGCAGUCUGGUCUAUAGAGUUAUGGAUUCACUACCAGAUUCUACUGUAUGCUCUGACAACUAUGACCACAAUGGGUAUGGUUUCUGUGGAUUCUCUGCUCUUUGUGCUCUCCUCCCCACAUUGGUGGCUCCAUCUGGCACAGGGAAGCUUCUGGAUUCCAGAAGGGAACAACACUACAGUCGCCCGUAGUUUUGUUUCUGUUCAGUCUCCAUCGUGGCAUGCCACACUCUCCUGGUUUGGGCCCUGCUCAUUUCUUUACUGCCUUCCUGCCUGCCCUUUUUGUGCAGGUAGGUCAUCCCAUUCAUGCUCAGCCCUCCUCGCUGUCUACACUGUCUUCUUGGGCAAUCGUAUCCAGUCCCAAGCCUUUUAA